Malus domestica (apple) is the source of this 4776-nucleotide non-coding RNA. NCBI's taxonomy places the organism in Eukaryota, Viridiplantae, Streptophyta, Magnoliopsida, Rosales, Rosaceae. The record is from RefSeq and is a predicted model, not a curated record.
AUGGGACGAAACAAGGCCCGAAGGUUGAGGGAAAAGGGUCAGGCAAAUGCUGAUUACGCCGCUCAACAUGAAGUGGCGGCCUCAUUGCGAUUACUGAUAGGAAUUCUUAAAGAUGUACUUUCAGGUUCUGGAAUUUCUUCUUCUAGCACAUCAGUUUCUCCUGCUUUAAGUAAGCCACCAGAGCAGAUCUUUGAGAUUGUCAAUCUGGCAAAUGAGCUACUUCCUCCAUUGCCACAAGGAACCAUUUCUUCCAAAACUGUAAAAAGUCGUCUGAGCAAACCAAUGGAACUGGUUCUGAGGUUUCAGCUCGUGAGAAAUUAUUGAAUGAACAGCCUGGGCUUCUCCAGCAAUUUGGAAUGGAUCUCCUUCCUGUUUUAAUACAGAUUUAUGGUUCUAGCGUUAAUGGCCCUGUUCGCCACAAAUGUCUUUCAGUAAUUGGGAAAUUAAUGUACUUCAGCAAUGCAGAGAUGAUACAGUCUUUAUUAAGUUCAACAAAUAUUUCAAGUUUCUUAGCCGGUGUCUUAGCAUGGAAAGAUCCGCAUGUCUUGGUUCCUGCUCUCCAAAUUGCUGAGAUACUCAUGGAGAAGCUUCCCAAUACUUUCUCCAAGGUGUUUGUGAGAGAAGGUGUUGUUCAUGCCGUGGACCAACUUAUCUUACCUGGUACUCCAAAUUCAGUUCCUGUCCCAGUAUCUUCUGCUGAAAAGGAUAGUGAUCCUGUUCCUGGAACAUCAUCACGUUCUAGGCGUUAUAGACGACGCAACAGUAACUCAAAUCCAGAUGGAAAUUCAUUGGAAGAAACUAAGAUUCCCCCUUCAGCAAAUAUUGGUUCACCUCCAAGUUCAGUGGAGAUUCCUACUGUUAACUCCAGCCUUCGAAUGGCUGUCAGUGCAUGUGCUAAAGCUUUUAAAGACAAGUACUUCCCUUCAGAUCCUGGGGCUGUUGAAGUUGGAGUUACAGAUGAUCUAUUACAUUUAAAGAAUCUAUGCAUGAAGUUGAAUGCAGGUGUUGAUGACCAAAAAACGAAAGCAAAGGGAAAGUCGAAAGCUUUUGGGUCUCGCUUGGUUGAUAGUUCUGCAAGUAAGGAGGAGUACAUGAUUGGUGUGGUAUCUGAGAUGCUAGCCGAACUAAGCAAGGGGGAUGGUGUAUCCACUUUUGAGUUCAUUGGUAGUGGUGUUGUUGCAGCAUUGCUCAACUAUUUUUCUUAUGGGUACUUCUCCAAGGAGAGGAUUUCGGAAGCUAAUUUGCCCAAGCUUCAUGAGCAAGCACUGAGAAGAUUUAAGUCAUUUGUUGCUGUUGCUCUUCCUUUCAGUAUUAAUGAAGGAAGUGUAGCACCAAUGACUGUCCUCGUUCAGAAGCUCCAAAAUGCUUUGUCCUCCUUAGAGCGUUUUUCCGGUUGUGCUGAGUCAUUCAUCUAGGUCAUCCACUGGGAGCGCACGCCUCUCUCCUCUGGACUUAGUGCAUUAUCUCAGCCCUUUAAGUUGCGUCUUUGUCGAGCACAAGGAGAAAAGACCAUCCGAGACUAUUCAUCGAACGUUGUUCUGAUUGAUCCAUUAGCAAGUUUAGCUGCUGUAGAAGAGUUUCUUUGGCCUCGAGUACACAGCGAGGGGAAUCUGGUCAGAAGCCUGCUGCCUCUGCUGGAAACUCGGAAUCUGGAACUACACCUACAGGUGCUGGUGCUUCAUCUCUGUCUACUUCAAAUCCUGCUUCCACCACUCGUCGCCAUUCAACGCGAUCCAGAACAUCUGUGAAUAUAGGAGAUACAGCUAGGAGGGAACCAUCACAAGAGAAGAGCACAAGCUCAUCAAAAGGGAAGGGUAAAGCUGUUUUGAAGCCUUCUCAGGAGGAAGCAAGAGGACCUCAAACGAGAAAUGCAGCUCGUAGACGGGCAGCUCUUGAUAAAGAUGUUCAAAUGAAGCCCACAAAUGGGGACACUACUUCUGAGGAUGAGGAAUUGGAUAUAUCGCCUGUUGAGAUGGAUGAAUUGGUUAUUGAAGAUGAUGAUAUCUCAGAUGACGAAGAUGAUGACCAUGAUGUUCUAAGAGAUGACUCUCUUCCCGUUUGCAUGCCGGAUAAAGUACACGAUGUCAAAUUGGGAGACUCAACUGAGGAUGCUACUGUAGCUUCAGCCACAAGUGACAAUCAUACUAACCCAGCUUCUGGCUCUAGUAGCAGAGCUGCUACAGGUAGAGGCUCAGAUUCUGCUGAGCAUAGGAGUAGUAAUUCUGCUUAUGGUUCAAAAGGUGCAAUGUCAUUUGCUGCUGCCGCCAUGGCUGGGCUUGGAUCUGCCAGCAGGGGCAUUAGGGGAGGCAGAGAUAGACAAGGACGUCCUAUUUUUGGCAGUUCUAGUGAUCCUCCUAAGUUGAUUUUUACUUCUGGAGGGAAGCAGCUUAAUAGGCAUCUGACUAUCUAUCAGGCUAUUCAGAGACAGCUUGUGCAGGAUGAGGAUGAUGAUGAAAGGUAUGCUGGGAGUGAUUUUGUAUCCAGUGAAGGUAGCAGGCUAUGGAGUGAUAUUUACACUAUCACAUACCAGAGGCCAGACAAUCAAACUGACAGGGCAUCUGUUGGAGGUGCAAGUCCUACAACUGCAACAAAAUCUGGGAAAUCUGCCUCUGCUUCCAAUUCCAACUCCGAAUCUCAAUUGCAUCGAAUGUCACUUUUGGAUAGUAUUUUGCAGGGAGAGCUUCCUUGUGAUUUAGAAAAAUCUAAUCCUACUUAUAAUAUACUGGCACUACUGCGUGUACUAGAGGGCUUGAAUCAGCUUGCUCCUCGCCUGAGAGCUCAGAUAGUUUCCGACAGUUUUGCGGAGGGUAAAGUUUUGAAUUUGGAUGACUUGAGUACAACUGGUGCUAGAGUUUUUCCUGAGGAAUUUAUUAACAGCAAACUCACUCCCAAAUUAGCCCGGCAAAUUCAAGAUGCCCUUGCAUUGUGCAGUGGGAGUCUUCCUUCUUGGUGUUACCAGUUGACAAAAGCAUGUCCAUUUUUGUUUCCUUUUGAGACUCGGAGACAGUAUUUCUAUUCAACAGCUUUUGGAUUGUCUCGCGCUCUGUACCGUCUUCAGCAGCAGCAGGGUGCUGAUGGUCAUGCAAAUGAACGAGAGGUGAGAGUUGGGAGAUUGCAACGGCAGAAAGUCCGCGUUUCCCGAAACCGGAUUUUGGAUUCUGCUGCAAAAGUAAUGGAGAUGUAUUCCAGCCAAAAAUCUGUGCUUGAAGUAGAAUAUUUUGGUGAAGUGGGCACUGGCUUGGGUCCUACGCUUGAGUUCUACACACUUUUAAGUCAUGACCUACAAAGAGUUAGACUUGGCAUGUGGAGGUCAAAUUCUUCAAUGGAGAAGACAUCAAUGGAUAUUGAUGGAGAUGAACCUAAAGAUGGCAAAAGCAAUGGCGACAUUGUCCAAGCUCCGCUUGGGUUGUUCCCUCGUCCCUGGCCUCCAAACGCUGUUGCUUCUGAUGGUAGCCAGUUUUCAAAAGUGAUAGAAUACUUUAGGUUGGUUGGGCGUGUGAUGGCGAAGGCUCUUCAAGAUGGGCGGCUAUUGGAUUUGCCACUAUCAACAGCAUUUUAUAAGCUUUUGCUUGGUCAAGAGCUUGAUUUACAUGAUAUCCUUUCCUUUGAUGCUGAGCUUGGAAAGACUCUGCAAGAAUUACAUAAUCUUGUCUGCCGGAAACUAUAUUUAGAAUCAAAUGGUGAUAAUCGUGAUGCCAUUGUUGAAUUGCAUUUACGUGGAGUGUCAAUUGAUGACCUGUGUUUAGAUUUUACACUCCCUGGCUAUCCAGAUUAUGUGUUGAAACCUGGAGAUGAAAAUGUUGACAUCAAUAACUUGGAGGAGUACAUAACUUUAGUUGUUGACGCGACAGUGAAGACUGGGAUAAUGAGGCAAAUUGAAGCAUUUAGAGCAGGGUUUAAUCAGGUCUUUGACAUAUCGUCUUUACAAAUAUUUACUCCACAUGAGUUGGACUAUCUGCUUUGUGGUCGUCGAGAGUUGUGGGAGGCGGAGACCCUUGCUGAUCAUAUAAAGUUUGAUCAUGGAUACAAUGCCAAGAGCCCUGCAAUACUUAAUUUGCUCGAGAUUAUGGGUGAGUUCACGCCAGAGCAGCAGCGUGCCUUCUGCCAGUUUGUUACUGGUGCACCUCGGCUUCCACCUGGUGGUUUGGCGGUGCUGAAUCCAAAACUGACGAUUGUGAGAAAGCAUUCUUCAACCGCAAAUAAUGCUGCAACCAACGGGACCGGGGUUUCAGAGUUGGCAGAUGAUGACCUGCCCAGUGUCAUGACAUGCGCUAAUUACCUGAAGCUUCCUCCUUAUUCAACCAAGGAAAUUAUGUUCAAGAAAUUAUUGUAUGCAAUCAGUGAAGGGCAAGGAUCCUUUGAUUUGUCAUGAGCUUUUUGGGAUUAGCCAUAUUGAUCCGUGUAUAUUAAUUACAUUCAAAACAAUUAGGGGUGUUUUGUCUUCCGCUUGCAAUUAAUUAGCCUUAGCCUUGGAUGACUUUUGAUGUUGGAAGUGGCAUUUCUACUUCUCCACUCAAAUAAUGGCUUUUGUCGUUGGCGCGGUCUUAAACUUAUCAACAUUGUUGAGGUUGGAUCGACGCAAUUUUAAACUGUAGAGAGUGAAUGGAGAGAGCCGUUUGAGCCGCCAAGGACUGUAAAUAAAUAUAGGGUGAUAGAAUAUACAUGUAUGGCGGUAAAAAGGAUGAAAGGGAAACAAAAACAUGUGAAACAUUUUUAUGUCUUGUAAUUUCAUUCCAAUUCUGAUUUCAAAUAAAUUUGUUCCAGCUUAUUUCCAUU